AUCCUUUUUGGUUCAUAAGCAUGGUGAUUGGGUGUUCAUGCUGUUGUGUGAGAUGUGCCUCCCUCUAAGCCUGUUUUGAAGUUGGCCUGUUAACCCAUCUGACA
This is a non-coding RNA of Ictidomys tridecemlineatus (thirteen-lined ground squirrel), 104 nucleotides long. NCBI's taxonomy places the organism in Eukaryota, Metazoa, Chordata, Mammalia, Rodentia, Sciuridae. The record is from Rfam.